Molecule: ribosomal RNA, 828 nt
Filed under: Triticum aestivum (bread wheat)
Lineage: Eukaryota; Viridiplantae; Streptophyta; Magnoliopsida; Poales; Poaceae
Description: partial small subunit ribosomal RNA
Source: RNAcentral
GUUAGACUGGGCUCUAGGCGCACACAGUGCGGCCCAGCCCAACCGCCCCCAGCCUUUCCUCCUCCUCCUCGCUAGAGGAGAAGGCCGGGGUGCCAUGGCCGCGGGCACCCGGCGCCGCACACGGCCGAGACGCGAGGGGAUAAGAGCGACCCCAGCCUCCCUCUCCCUCUGCAACCCUAGCCCCCAAAUCCCCCUCCCCCUUGCUCGAAUUCGACGACCUAAACAAGGCCGAGCUCGUGGUCGUCGUCAUCUUCGUCGAUCCCGUGGCCACCGGCCACCGUUUGCCACAAUUUUAUGCCCAGGAGCUCCGGCUGCCUCGUCUACUUCAUCUACGGCCAUCAGUUCGAGUCCCCUCGCGCUACAUCGCCAGGAUCGAGUCUUCUUCCUCCUUCGGCCGCCGCCGUUCUCCAUCGACCCAUUGCCGUUCUGCGCUCCUAAGCUCUCAACGAGCCUCCAUGCGCUCCUUGACUACGAGACUGAUGCCACUGCUGGUGCCCCGAUCGACUACGGUGUUGAUGACCCCUCCUUGCCAGAACAACCAGAUGCUGGAGCCCAGGAGCCAGACGCCACCCUCGACGACGACUCCUACUACACUUGAGGUGCCUACUACUACGUGCAGGCCGCUGACGAUGACCAGGAGUAGUUAGGAGGAUCCCAGGCAGGAGGCGUGCGCCUCUUUCGAUCUGUAUCCCAGUUUGUGUUAGCCUUCUUAAGGCAAACUUGUUUAACUUAUGUCUGUACUUAGAUAUUGUUGCUUCCGCUGACUCGUGUAUGAUCGAGCACUUGUAUUCGAGCCCUCGAGGCCCCUGGCUUGUAUUAUGAUGCUUG